GUGAUCCCUUGGGCAGUACUUAUACUAAAAUUGAAAUGAUACAGAGAAAAUUAGCAUGACCCCUGUGCAAGGAUGACAUACAAAUUUGUAAAACCUCUGCUUGUGUU
Small nuclear RNA from Hyaena hyaena (striped hyena), 107 nucleotides. The record is from RefSeq and is a predicted model, not a curated record. Lineage: Eukaryota; Metazoa; Chordata; Mammalia; Carnivora; Hyaenidae.